GGGGUGUGACUCAGGUGGUGGAGUGCUUGCUUUGCAUGCAAAAGGCCCUGGUUCAAUUGCCAACACCACCC
RNAcentral lists this transfer RNA (71 nucleotides) under Marmota monax (woodchuck). RNAcentral describes it as "tRNA.Ala". The record is from RNAcentral. Lineage: Eukaryota; Metazoa; Chordata; Mammalia; Rodentia; Sciuridae.